CUCGUCCACUAGGGUAACCUAGGGGUUUAACGGCUUGUUGCACAUGCUAAGUGCAAUCGUGAUUCCUACGAAAGUGAGUACUUAUCUUAAUUUUAUGCAAUUAGUUCUAAUAAAACAUCAAAGGAUCAACCAAUAUUUUUUGUACUCUCAUGUUAUUGUUUACUCUGAAUUGCUAGAGACUAGCAAUAAGCUAGUUGAGGGGUAUGAUGAGAGC
RNAcentral lists this long non-coding RNA (214 nucleotides) under Phoenix dactylifera (date palm). RNAcentral's name for it is "long non-coding RNA (PDAC_LNC016545)". Lineage: Eukaryota; Viridiplantae; Streptophyta; Magnoliopsida; Arecales; Arecaceae. The record is from RNAcentral.